This 252-nucleotide ribosomal RNA is filed under the name uncultured Bacteroidales bacterium. RNAcentral describes it as "partial 16S ribosomal RNA". It matches the Rfam family "Bacterial small subunit ribosomal RNA", at positions 524 to 776 of the family's 1533-position model. Lineage: Bacteria; Pseudomonadati; Bacteroidota; Bacteroidia; Bacteroidales. The record is from RNAcentral.
UACGGAGGAUGCGAGCGUUAUCCGGAUUUAUUGGGUUUAAAGGGUGCGUAGGCGGAUUUGUAAGUCAGCGGUAAAAAUGCGGUGCUCAACGCCGUAUCGCCGUUGAAACUGCAGGUCUUGAGUGAGCGAGAAGUAUGCGGAAUGCGUGGUGUAGCGGUGAAAUGCAUAGAUAUCACGCAGAACCCCGAUAGCGAAGGCAGCAUGCCGGCUUCCGACUGACGCUGAAGCACGAAAGCGUGGGGAUCGAACAGG